RNAcentral lists this non-coding RNA (29 nucleotides) under Cricetulus griseus (Chinese hamster). The record is from RNAcentral. Lineage: Eukaryota; Metazoa; Chordata; Mammalia; Rodentia; Cricetidae.
GCAGCCAUGGCGGAUAGGAAGACUAACGG